This is a long non-coding RNA of Microcebus murinus (gray mouse lemur), 318 nucleotides long. The record is from Ensembl. NCBI's taxonomy places the organism in Eukaryota, Metazoa, Chordata, Mammalia, Primates, Cheirogaleidae.
GGAAGAGGAACAGAUGGACACGAUUCCCUGUAGGUUUACAUCGUCCCUAAACGGCGUACAGCCACAAACGUCAUGUCAUACCGGUGACAAAAGAAGGCAAGGAAAAGGAUCCCAGCGGAUGGAUCGGUUUUACGUCUCAUGUGACACACAGUUGAUUUCCUGACAGCCCAGAGCAAACAGCAGCUACUUUGUCGGUGGAAAAGAUGCAAGGUUUUAUGUCACCUCCAGCAAGAAUUCCCCACACGGCUAUUUUGGAGUCCUUGCCCUCUUCUCGGGGAACUUUCUUUUUCUCCUCAAAAAUGUUACUGGUCCCAGGGC